UACAGAGGGUGCAAGCGUUAAUCGGAAUUACUGGGCGUAAAGCGCGCGUAGGCGGCUUGAUAGGAUGGGUGUGAAAUCCCCGGCGUUAACCUCGGGACGUAGCAUCCAUAACUGUCUGGCUAGAGUACAGUAGAGGGUGGUGGAAUUUCCUGUGUAGCGGUGAAUGCGUAGAUAUAGGAAGGAACACCAGUGGCGAAGGCGACCACCUGGACUGAUACUGACGCUGAGGUGCGAAAGCGUGGGGAGGCAAACAGGAUUAGAUACCCCUGUAGU
This 273-nucleotide ribosomal RNA is filed under the name uncultured bacterium. Its description in RNAcentral is "partial 16S ribosomal RNA". It matches the Rfam family "Bacterial small subunit ribosomal RNA", at positions 524 to 794 of the family's 1533-position model. The record is from RNAcentral.